RNAcentral lists this ribosomal RNA (450 nucleotides) under uncultured bacterium. Its description in RNAcentral is "partial 16S ribosomal RNA". It matches the Rfam family "Bacterial small subunit ribosomal RNA", at positions 354 to 796 of the family's 1533-position model. The record is from RNAcentral.
GUGGGGAAUUUUGGACAAUGGGGGCAACCCUGAUCCAGCCAUUCCGCGUGAGUGAAGAAGGCCUUCGGGUUGUAAAGCUCUUUCGUCAGGAACGAAACGGCGGGCUCUAACAUAGCCUGUUAAUGACGGUACCUGAAGAAGAAGCACCGGCUAACUACGUGCCAGCAGCCGCGGUAAUACGUAGGGUGCGAGCGUUAAUCGGAAUUACUGGGCGUAAAGCGUGCGCAGGCGGAUUGUUAAGCAAGACGUGACAUCCCCGGGCUUAACCUGGGAAUGGCGUUUUGAACUGGCAGUCUAGAGUGCGUCAGAGGGGGGUGGAAUUCCACGUGUAGCAGUGAAAUGCGUAGAGAUGUGGAGGAACACCGAUGGCGAAGGCAGCCCCCUGGGAUGACACUGACGCUCAUGUACGAAAGCGUGGGUAGCAAACAGGAUUGGAUACCCGAGUAGUCC